UACGUAGGGUGCGAGCGUUAUUCGGAAUUACUGGGCGUAAAGCGCGUGUAGGCGGCAGGGCAAGUCUGGUGUGAAAGCCCGGGGCUCAACCCCGGAAGUGCAUUGGAAACUGCUCUGCUUGAGUACCGGAGAGGAAGGGGGAAUUCCCGGUGUAGCGGUGAAAUGCGUAGAUAUCGGGAGGAAUACCAGUGGCGAAGGCGCCCCUCUGGACGGGUACUGACGCUGAGGCGCGAAAGCGUGGGGAGCAAACAGG
RNAcentral lists this ribosomal RNA (253 nucleotides) under uncultured microorganism. RNAcentral's name for it is "partial 16S ribosomal RNA". It matches the Rfam family "Bacterial small subunit ribosomal RNA", at positions 524 to 776 of the family's 1533-position model. The record is from RNAcentral.